AUAUUUCACACAGGGCGAAAGCCUGAAGCAGCAACGCCGCGGGAGUGAUGAAGGACUUCGGGUCGUAAAGCUCUUUGUUCAGGGAUGAUAAUGACAGUACCUGAAAAAAGAGCUGCGCCUAACUACGUGCCACAAGCCGCGGUAAUACGUAGGUGGCGAGCGUUGUCCGGAAUUAAUGGGGGUAAAGGAUGCGUAGGUGGAUACUUAAGUGGAAUGUGAAAUCCCCGGGCUCAACCCGGGAACUGCAUUCCAAACUUGGUAUCUAGAGUGCAGGAGAGGAAAGCGGAAUUCCUAGUGUAGCGGUGAAAUGCGUAGAUAUUAGGAGGAACACCAGUGGCGAAGGCGGCUUUCUGGACUGUAACUGACACUGAGGCAUGAAAGCGUGGGUAGCAAACAGG
This 398-nucleotide ribosomal RNA is filed under the name uncultured bacterium. RNAcentral's name for it is "partial 16S ribosomal RNA". It matches the Rfam family "Bacterial small subunit ribosomal RNA", at positions 361 to 776 of the family's 1533-position model. The record is from RNAcentral.